UUGAUUUCCACCAACAGAAUGUCAGAGUGCCUCGAACACAGUAAGGCAGCAUCAGAAGAGGGAAUCUGCUCUCUGUUUCCUAUUUCUCAUGAGAAACAUGAAGAUUCAGGAAGAUUUGUUUAUUUUUCAAUUUAUUCAGGAAGGAAAGAAAGAUGGUGCCUCUUUGGCGGACAAGAGUGUCAUUUGACAGAUUGUUGGGGCACUUGUAUUGCCUUUGUAAAGGAACGAAGAAGCAGUACAGAUGUCUUCACAUCUAUAUGGCAAUGUGGUGGCUUUACCAAGAAAAAUAGGACUUAGUAAUUGAGUGUUCAAGAGCAGACAGCAACUUGUCAGGGGACCCAUCUGAAAAUGAAGAAAUUGAAGUUGGUGAUGUAGGAGAAGGACUGACAAAGCACCAACUGGUUGCAAUGACUAAUUAUCUGUGGCAAAGCAAAAGAAUACCAGAAGAUUUGCCACAGGAAUUAAGGAAGUGAAAUCCCAAAAAGGUUUGACCCCACAGAGCAAACAUGCCCUUAUUGCCCUGGGCCAAUCCCACCAGGUCUCACAGAACCAGUUGUUGUCCCAAAGAGAGCAUCAGUUUAUGACAUAGACUCAGUGAAGAAAGGUGUUACAGUGUGUGUAAAGUACUGCCUGAUCUGCAAGACACUUGUCAGGUUUCAGGAGUACACUGCUGGAUUUCACAAUUUUAACAACAUCAUUAUUUUGACAACUCGUCUAUGUGCAAUGAUGACAUCUGCCCUUAAGACAAACACAGCCACUGGACGGUUUCUAUCUAUGCUGGAGGACCUUCUUGCAGUAACAAUUCACCACAACACCUUAAGGAAAGCCUUUUUUCUUUUCUGGGCAAUGAUCAGAUACAUGUAUGACUUUUCAUGCAUUCGCUGUGGCCAUGAACCACCUAUCUUGAUUGCUGACAGCAACUGGAAGGUGGCUUUUGAUUUGCCUGUCAAUCUCCUGAAGAGACCUUGUAACGAAAGUGUGGAACAGAGUGACCUUAAUGUCAGUGUUGCUGAAAGAUGGUCGUCAUUAGAAACCAACACAAAUUAGCUACUUUUCUGUUACGAAACAAAGAAGAGAAACCCCUUUUCCAGGGACCUAUCUUAUUCAUCUUUUGCCCUGUGGCUUGGAUCCCCCUGCAGGGUUGGACCAAUUGUUCCAAAAACAAAGAUCCUCAAAAGAUUUUCAGUCAGACUAUGUGACAAGUCACCUCCUGUAGAUUGUCAUGCAGUUGAGGACACUGUGUUAAAACUAUUUGAAUCCAAAAAGCCUUCCAAAAAUGAGCUGCUGGCAGCAUGUACACAGCUUGGUGUGUCUUCUGCUGGCUCUGCCUCAGAUAUUAU
This is a long non-coding RNA of Cyprinus carpio carpio, 1340 nucleotides long. The record is from Ensembl. NCBI's taxonomy places the organism in Eukaryota, Metazoa, Chordata, Actinopteri, Cypriniformes, Cyprinidae.